Molecule: long non-coding RNA, 545 nt
Organism: Dermacentor albipictus
Lineage: Eukaryota; Metazoa; Arthropoda; Arachnida; Ixodida; Ixodidae
Source: RefSeq, a predicted model, not a curated record
ACACUCGUCAUUGCGCAUUCGUGACAAGCAAGCACUGAGCACUCAAAAUGCGCACUCUUGCGGCAUCGCUCUGUGCUUUCGCGGUGUUUAGUGUCGUCUGCUGCGACGUCCAAGAACGCGGUCACACCUACCGGACCAGGAAUGUGACUGUCGAAGAUGGAGCCUGCGUCUUUGAGCGCAACGUCAUACCGGAUGGUGAAACUAAGGCGCUCAACAGCCCCUGCGUCCUUUCCACCUGCUACGCUGAGGCCCGCGAAGUGAAUUCGACGCUCUGCCCGAACAUUGGAGUCGAGGAGGGCUGCAGGGUGGAGUGGACCCCUGUCGGAGAGUAUCCCAACUGCUGCCCGAAGCAUGUGUGCCCCACCACCUCUUAAGGGGCCUCAAGUGCGGAAACAACACUGAAGCAUCCUAUUGCCUUUAUAGAUUCAAUGGUACUAUCGGCAAGUGGGACUCGUUGAAUUGUGACAUGAAACGCGCCAGAAAGAGACUGACUUGAUGUUGAAAGUAAGCCAUAAUAAACAAUAAAUCUUUCUUCGUAUUUUCUA